This is a long non-coding RNA of Crotalus tigris (Tiger rattlesnake), 819 nucleotides long. RefSeq lists it as uncharacterized. The record is from RefSeq and is a predicted model, not a curated record. NCBI's taxonomy places the organism in Eukaryota, Metazoa, Chordata, Lepidosauria, Squamata, Viperidae. The transcript is spliced from 3 exons.
AGCCAUCUCUGCUAACUCCAUCAGCUUUUGUAACCGUUCAUCCAAGAUGGGAAUGGAAGCAUCCUUCCAAGAAUUGCAGGAUUCCUAGGACCACAGCAAGUUUUCUCUGACCACACAGAUCCAUCUCUGCUGAUCUCCUGCAGCAGCUCAAAUAAAUCAGCUCUUAACCCACGUUUGAAGUCUGACUCAAAGAUGAAUAAGCUGAGUCUCAACAUCUUUUUUACAUCGUGGUGACCAAAACUGGAGGCAGAAGUCCAAGUGUGGCCUUACCACUCCUUAUUAGGAGUCCUGUGGGACACAGAAGAUCAACUGAAAUUGAGAAGGAGAACUGGGUUCCAAAAGCUUCUCUGCCUCAGUCUAAAUGUGUGGAAAAAUGCCAUCCUGGAUUUGUCAAGCAGGCUCGAGAAGGAGAGCCAGUUUGCUGCUACGACUGCAUUCCUUGUCCAGAGGGGACCAUCUCCACUCAGGAAGGUGGGUGACACCACAGGGAAACUUUGAUCAAUAUGCAAGUUAAAGACACAUGUAAGUUUGAUUGUUUAGUUCUCAAUUUUAAUGGUGUCCAAUUUCUUCCCUAAAUGGGAUAUAUAAGAAAAAUAUCUUGAAGGAUAAGGUAAGAAAAAGGAUAUUGUGCAUUGCAUGGAAAAUCUCUCUUUCAUUUCCCAGUUUGGAUGUUUCUGUCCAUAUUUAUCUUUCUUAGAAAUAUGUGUAUUCUUUGUAACUUGAGGAAUAAUUUUUGAUCAAUGGGUUUUGUUUACCUAAACCCAGUGCUUUUUUCCCCAAAAAAAGAGGUGCCAGAACUCAUACACAUCAUACAACCCG